AUGAACGCUGGCGGCGUGCCUAAUACAUGCAAGUCGAACGGAGAUGUUGUAGCAAUACUUCAUCUUAGUGGCGAACGGGUGAGUAACGCGUUGGUGACCUGCCCCGAAGAGGGGGAUAACAGUCCGAAAGGAUUGCUAAUACCCCAUACGGUCCUGGAGUUUAGAAGUUCAUGACCAAAGGAGUAAUUCGCUUCGGGAGGGGCCUGCGUCCCAUCAGCUAGUUGGUAAGGUAACGGCUUACCAAGGCGACGACGGGUAGGGGACCUGAGAGGGUGGCCCCCCACAAUGGAACUGAAACACGGUCCAUACACCUACGGGUGGCAGCAGUAGGGAAUAUUAGUUAAUGUGCGAAAGCGCGAACUAGCAACGCCGCGUGUGCGAUGAAGGCCUUCGGGUCGUAAAGCACUUUUCGAGAAGAUGAGAAAGGACAGUACUCUCGGAAUAAGUCUCGGCUAACUACGU
This 462-nucleotide ribosomal RNA is filed under the name uncultured bacterium. RNAcentral describes it as "bacterial SSU rRNA". It matches the Rfam family "Bacterial small subunit ribosomal RNA", at positions 29 to 506 of the family's 1533-position model. The record is from RNAcentral.